GGUUCCAUGGUGUAGUGGUUAUCACAUCUGCUUAACAUGCAGAAGGUCGUGAGUUGGAAACUCGCUGGUACCU
RNAcentral lists this transfer RNA (73 nucleotides) under Octopus sinensis (East Asian common octopus). RNAcentral's name for it is "tRNA-Val". Lineage: Eukaryota; Metazoa; Mollusca; Cephalopoda; Octopoda; Octopodidae. The record is from RNAcentral.